UGCGGGGUGGAGCAGUUGGCAGCUCGCAAGGCUCAUAACCUUGAGGUCACUGGUUCGAAUCCAGUCCCCGCUACCA
RNAcentral lists this transfer RNA (76 nucleotides) under bacterium. RNAcentral describes it as "tRNA-Met". It matches the Rfam family "tRNA". From Rfam's summary of the family: Transfer RNA (tRNA) molecules are approximately 80 nucleotides in length. Their secondary structure includes four short double-helical elements and three loops (D, anti-codon, and T loops). Further hydrogen bonds mediate the characteristic L-shaped molecular structure. tRNAs have two regions of fundamental functional importance: the anti-codon, which is responsible for specific mRNA codon recognition, and the 3' end, to which the tRNAs corresponding amino acid is attached (by aminoacyl-tRNA synthetases). tRNAs cope with the degeneracy of the genetic code in two manners: having more than one tRNA (with a specific anti-codon) for a particular amino acid; and 'wobble' base-pairing, i.e. permitting non-standard base-pairing at the 3rd anti-codon position. The record is from RNAcentral. RNAcentral also lists the same sequence under 2 other names.